Molecule: ribosomal RNA, 253 nt
Filed under: uncultured bacterium
Lineage: Bacteria
Description: partial 16S ribosomal RNA
Rfam family: Bacterial small subunit ribosomal RNA
Source: RNAcentral
UACGUAGGGGGCAAGCGUUGUCCGGAUUUAUUGGGCGUAAAGAGCGUGUAGGCGGCCGCACAGGUCCGUUGUGAAAACUGGAGGCUUAACCUUCAGACGUCGAUGGAAACCGUGCGGCUAGAGUCCGGAAGAGGCGAGUGGAAUUCCUGGUGUAGCGGUGAAAUGCGCAGAUAUCAGGAGGAACACCAAUUGCGAAGGCAGCUCGCUGGGACGUUACUGACGCUGAGACGCGAAAGCGUGGGGAACAAACAGG